AGACAGGGCCGAUCCAGACGGAAAUAAAAUCCCCAAAGAGCACAUGUAAAAUAGGAAAUUACCCCAUGGACCCCUGUACAUCUAAUCCUGUCUGGACAGGGUGUUAGUGCUAGUACUGAUGAGGUGAGAGGUGGGCGUGGCGCUCGGAUCUCCACCUGGUUUGGCGCUUGGCUGAGUUUUGCCCCUUAGGGCUUUCCAUACUGAGUUUCAGAACUCUUCACUUCAGCGGGUAAGAAGCGCCCGAUUUCCUGGUACGAGGCACAAUGGGCAUUUCUUUGAACUGGGGGAGAAUGACUCGAAUAGACGAGAGCGGAGAUGAAAACAGGUCAUGAGUGCAGUGGGGAUAACAUCUGUGGAUGAACAGCCUCACCCGGAGCUCACCUGUCUACCACAAACCAGCCUCGCAGUAUGAAGUCCACAGUGUUAUCGCACAGAAAUAGCCUGGCAGCACACAGACCGAAAACAGCACCAAACACACCGCCCUUAAGUGAAAGCACCUCAACACAUUUAGUUUGAAAGUGUGUGUGUGUGUGUAUGUGUGUGUAUGUGUGUGUGUGUGGACUUAUGGAAUGAAAUAUUACUAUUCAUGUCUUGUGGGUGUGUAUAGAUAUAUUCAUUGGAAUGUGCAAUUUGUAUACUAUUUUGCUUGUGUGUGUUUGCAUGUUUGAAUGGUACGGUAGACCCUUGCAUGUGUUCUGUUUUUCUGUUGCUGUUUUGUGUGUGUGUGUGUGUGUGUGUGUGUGUGUGUGUGUGUGUGUGUGUGUGUGUGUAAUUACCGUGAUUACCCCCCCUGCUCUGAACUGCGGGACGGAGAAAGACCUAACGAGCGUGUAGUAAUUAUGACUCAUACUGCUCCUGAUCAACUGAUUUAUGCCACUUAGGUAGAAGGAGAGACAUGGAAGGAAGAUAUCAUGGAGAAAAGAAGGAAGCUGAAUUUUUAAUGUUUAGAUGAAGACAUGUUGGAAAAAAAAAUCAGUGUUUUUAAAAUUUUGAUUGGGAAAAACAUUGCUACAUUGCAAAAUGUCAGCAUCAAGGAUGGAUUGUGGGUUUGUUUGGAACUGGGAUUCACCAUUGCACACUUAUUUGAACACGAAGGAGUUUCUUCCUUCUGAAUUGCAGCAGUUCGUGCUGCAAUUCAGUACGUGCACACCGUUCGUAGAAUAGAGACAGUGGAGCGGCAUGAGUACCUGCAGUCAUGACGAGACAAAUAUAUACAGAUAAAUUCAAAUUAAACUUCAGACUCGUUUUACAAGCAAAGCUUACUUUACAAUAUGGUGAUCAGUCUCAGUGGCGGCUCCUGGAUUCUGUAGAUUUAUUCGAUAAUUAUUAUGACGAAUAACACAAUAUAAGUUUGUUAGCAAUCUUGAACAGGCACGUGUUCAUCUUCAUUUCUGAGUUUCAGUGUAGACCAGUGAGACAGUCACUGUGCAUAUACAGUUAUUAAAAAUGCUGUAAUUAGGAGCAAUGUUUGAAUCGUUCAUAGCAGAAUGAUUGUUUCAUUUAAAAUAAUGCACAUGGCUGAUAAGUACAUAGUUUUUAAAUGAUAAUGUUAUUUAUUGAAGCAAAAAAGUUAUCCAGUACCAACUGGGCCUGUGUGAAAAUGUAUUUGCCCCCGUAGUUACUAAUUCCUGAAAUCUAUGUAACCGCAUUGAUAAUGCAGUUCAGCUGGACUAGAAACAACCAGGCCUGAUUACUGCAAACCCUGUUCAAUCAAAUCAACACUUAAAUAGAACUUUUUCAACAGCAUGAAGUUGGUUAAACGGUCUUAUCCAGUAACACACUAUGCCAAAGUUGAAAGAAAUUCCAGAAAUGAUGAGGAAGUAGGUGAUUGAAAUAGAUCAGUCUGGGAAGGUUACAAAGCUAUUUCAAAGGCUCUGGGACUCCAAAGAACCACAGUGAGAGCCGUUAUCUCCAAAUGGAAAAACUCGGCACAGUAGUGAACCUUCUCAGAAGUGGCCGACCUUCUAAAAUUCCUCCAAGAGCACAGCAACUACUAAACCAGGAAGUCACAAAAGAGCCAAGGACAGCAUAAGCAGUGAAAGCUGUAAAGUCAAAUUAGUUUUCUGACAUAAUAUGUAAGAAAUCAAGCAGACCUGGAAUUCUAUUUAUAAUUUAAAUUCUGUCAUAAAUCUUAUAGGCAAUGCCUAUCCUGCGGAGUCGUUCAUAGUAUGUGAAAAUGUUCUGAGUUUCUUUGUGCAUAAGAUCGCAGCGAUCAGACAGUCGAUUGUGCCUUCAAAAGAUGAUCCUUUGGAUACUCCCAGCUGCACCAUGUUCUUAAAUACAUUUGAGCCGAUUUCUAUCCUCUAUUUAAUGGACAGUGGUUGAAGCCCACCACUUCUUCCUUUGACAUUGUUCCUACCCACGUUUUUUAAACAGAUCUUUUAUAUUGUUGGGAUGUGGAUCUUAGCAGAAGUACACAAAGUCUUUUCUCUGGGUCUGUUACAGCCUAUUUUAAACAUGCUUUGGUGAAACCAUUACUGAAAAAGCCAAAUUUGAACUCAACAGAUUUAUCUAAUUUUAGACUUAUAUGAAAUGUACCUUUUACUGCAAAUUUUUUUUAGAGAAAGCUGUGCUAGAUCAACUACAGAGUUUCUUGGAAAGAAACAGCAUUUGUGAAAAUUUUCAGUCUGAUUUCAGGAAAAAACAUAGUACUGAAUCGUCUCGGGGAGUCUGCAGUUUUGUUGUUAUUAGAUUUGAGUGCAGCGUUUGACACUGUUCACUAUGGCAUUCUUCUGUCAUGCCUGGAGCACUGUGUGGCCAUCCAAGGACGUGCCCUUUGUUGGUUCAUAUCCUAUCUUAGUGACCUUAGUGACCAACUUUUUCUGUAAGUAUUGGAUGUCCCGUUUCUUCUGUAGCUCCCCUUACCUGUGGUGUCCCUCAAGGCUCCAUUCUUGCUCCCACCCUUUUCGCCCUUUAUAUGCUCCCACUAGGGUCAGUUUUAAGAAAGCAUGCUGUGGCUUUCCGUUUUUAUGCGGAUGAGACCCAAAUUCAUCUGCCGAUGAAACAAAAUGACAAGAAAGGCCUAGAAACCCUGCUUGCACAUCUGGCUGUGAUCUUGAAUAUCCUUGAAUUUUUUUUAAUUUGAGUGAGAGGUAAACAGAAGUUAUUGCAUUUGGGCCCAUUGCGGUUAAAUGAAAUACAAACCUUAAUCUUGGCAAUCUGACAUUAAACCAGCUGUCAAAAAUUUGGAAGUGACUUUUGAUUCUUCCCUCAACUUUGACCAACAUAUUAGUUCAGCGGUUAAGUCGAAUUUUUUUUCAUCUGAAACUUCUGACCAAAGUUAAGUAUUUCUUCUCUUUUAGAGUUAUCCAUGUUUUCAUUUUGUCUCGCUUGGAUUACUGUAAUUCUCUAAUACCGGAAUAUAUCCCAGUCUUCUAUCUCACGGCUUCUAAUGGUCCAAAACACAGCUGCUAGACUUUUAACUGGGGUGCGUAAACGUGAUCAUAUCACUCCGAUUUUAAGGUCUUUAAAUUGGUGGCCAGUGUGUUUAUAGAAUUAAUUUUAAUGUAUUAUUGUUUGUUUUCAAGUCAUUAAAUGGCCUGGCGCCUCUCUAUCUGUCGGAUCUGUUAAGCUUAAGUAAUCCUAUCAGAUGUCUACGAUCUGUUGAUCAGACCACCCUGUCCUUUCCCAGAUCAAGAUUAAAGCUGAGAUUUGACUGUGUAUUUGCGAUUGCUUUUCCUAAGAUAUGGGACAGCCUACCUCUGUCUGUCAGAUCUGCCACCUCCUUACAUGAGUUCAAAUAUAAGAUAAUGUCUAACGUUUUUACCUUAGCAUUUAACUCAUUAGUAUUAAGUAUUUAUUUACUUAUUUAUUUGUUAUACUUUGAACUAUACCUGGUUUUGUACAGCAUAGCGGUCAGCUUUUUUGUUGUGUGUAUUUGUGCUUUAUAAAAUAAAAAAAAUAAUAAAAUUAAUCAAAAUCAUUAAAAAUCAUUGUAUAUUAUAUAUAUUAUUAUAUAUUAUUAUAUAAAUCAUUAAAAAUCAUCUGUUGCAUCAAUAAAGGUCACUGUUCAUGACUCCACUAUCAGAAAGACACUGGGCAAAAAUGGCUUCCAUGUUAGAGUGGUGAGGUGAAAACCACUGCUAACCCAGAAGAACAUUAAGACUCAUCUAAAUUUUUCCAAAACACACCUUGAUGAUCCUCAAACCUUUUGGGAGAAUGUUCUGUGGACUGAUGAGUGGAAUGUGGAACUGUUUGGAAGACUGGGGUCCCAUUACAUCUGGUGGAAACCAAACACCGAAUUCCACAAAAAGAUCAUUAUACCUACAGUCAAGCAUGGUGGUGGAAGUGUGAUGAUGUGGGGAUGCUUUACUGCUUUAGGGCCUGGGCAACUUGCAAUAAUUGAGAGAAACAUGAAUUCUGAUUUCUACCAGGAAAUCCUAAAGGAGAAUGUCCGGUCUUCAGUCUGUAAGUUGAAACCAAGACAUAGGAGUAAGUCCUGGUCCUAGAAGUAAGUGAAAGACUGAUCUCCUCCAGUUAUUGGAAGCGUUUGGUUGCAGUUAUUGCUGAUAAAGGUGGCACAACCAGAUUUUAAAUUUAAGGGGGCAAUUAGUUUUUCACAUGGGUGUUAGGUGUUGGAUAACUUUUUUUAUUGCUUCAGUAUAAAGUAUUUAGUAUGAGAUAUACACAAAAACAGCACUGUAUGUACCACGAUAUAUAGUUUAGCCUUCAAACUGCCAGCAAAACAGUAGUGCUGCCAUCAGACUGUAAAAAUUCAGGAUUGUAAAACUGAGUUUGAUAUGAUAUUUCUAUUUAAUAAUUAGAAAAAAAAUACGUGGGAAGAAUAAAGAAAAAAUCGUAUAUGAAAUAAAUUAUUUACAGCAAAUAAGUUGCAUUCACUCAGUUCUAUUUAAAUUGUAAUUAUUUAAAAUGUAAAAAAGUAAUAAGAAAAUAUUGCAAAACAAAUGAUCAGAAAGUAAGUGAUACCUCAGUAAAGUGUAUUGUGACGGCGUUUAUCACCAUAACGAUAUAUUGUCAUAUCCACCAGCACUAUGAGUACAAUUUCACAGGUUUAGAACCUGAUAGAGCUAAUAUGUUUUGUUUCUCUCUCUCUCACUUUCUCUCUCUUACUCUUUCUUUCUCUCUGUUUGUCUCUCUCUCUCUCUCUCUCUCUCUCUCUCUCUUACUCUUUCUUUCUCUCUGUUUGUCUCUCUCUCUCUCUCUCUCUCUCUCUCUUACUCUUUCUUUCUCUCUGUUUGUCUCUCUCUCUCUCUCUCUCUCUCUCUCUCUUACUCUUUCUUUCUCUCUGUUUGUCUCUCUCUCUCUCUCUCUCUCUCUCUCUCUCUCUCACUCUUUAUUUCUCUCUGUUUGUCUCAUACUCGCGCUCUCUCUCUCUCUCGGACAGAUUGGCUCCUCCUCUCUUUUUGCUGCUUUCAGUAUUUUUUUUUUUUUUU
Ictalurus punctatus (channel catfish) is the source of this 5393-nucleotide long non-coding RNA. The record is from Ensembl. NCBI's taxonomy places the organism in Eukaryota, Metazoa, Chordata, Actinopteri, Siluriformes, Ictaluridae.